CUGGUUUUCCGUUCGCCGUUAUUUUUCUUUUCUGCGCCCGCUGGCCACCAACACAUUACCUCCCCUCUCUCUCUUUCCUCGUUCAUUUCUCUCCUUCGACUUCAGUUACUUGAACGACCAAGAUGAAAUAUAGCCGUUGAUAUCAUUACAAGUAACAUUAAUUUACUCCAUAAGUAGCACCCACCAAAUCCUUUUCCCAUUUCUGACUCAUUCUCUGCGUGUGAUAAUUUUGGUAUUGAAAGUCUUCGAAAGAAUCAUCGCAUAGCACCACUACAUCGCUUUUUAAACGAGUACUGUUUUAAGUUCAUACUUCAACAGGCCCAGCAUUACCUGUUCAAAGAAAUCAAAACUUGUACGUUUUCACCUCUCUCCAUGUUACACCUCUUGAUUUUCUAUCACUAAUUUUCUUUUCUUUUAUUGGCUUUUUAAAACCUUAUUGGAUCUGUAGCUAAUUGAGUUUUGAGUUUGUUUCUUGCGAAUCAAUGUGUUUCGGGAGGAUCACCGGUUGAGCAAAAAAAAUAAAAAAGUUAAAGCGAAGAAAAAAAAAAAAAAAAAGAGGGAAGACUACUGCUGCCUAUAUGAAGUAUUAAUUGAAAAGAACCUAAUCCCCAGACGCUUCAACCAUGAUACCUUCAUCUCUCCAGAACCCGUGCACUGGCCCUCGCCCUCCUCUACACUGCUAAAGAGGGUUUGGUCUGAACAGUCAAGCGAUGCUCCACAAGCUAAAUUAUACGACUGACAUGCCGAAUGGCAUACCCGAAGCCUGUCAUCACCAUCGUUGUCACACUUUUGGAUGGAGAUCCAGCACGCUAAUCGUUUAGCAACUGUGUCACAGUAGCUGCUGCCAAAGAUAUUAAAUAGCUUCCGGGCACCACCAGGGAACAAUCGAUGGUAGUUGGGCAUGACAACAACUUCUUCUAGCUGCUGCAGUAUACUUGGUUCACUAGGUGCACAAUGUUGACCAGACAUAUCACUCUCCAGCAUAUUUCUGCAAACAGAAAGGCUAGAGAGGAGUGUCGAGCUAUUCUGACAUGUGUAGCCUGCAUAAUCUGAGCAUCGGAAUUCGCAAACUCCAUUAUCACAAACCCCACCAUGAAGGCUGCAUUGUUCAUCACAAGCAGCUGCAUUUAACACAAAGAUGCACUAUCAGAGAAUGGUAGACCAAACAUAGUUAAGGAAUUUUAGCUCAUAGCGUCUGCAGUCAGCCUCUACUUGAGUUGGUACCUAUUGAAUAGAAAUGCAAAACACAGGAACAAAAACAAGAAAAACCACAACAACAACAAUAAGCAUCAGCCAGAUGGUCCGGAUCAAAAUUUAAACUCAAUGAAAAUCCCAAGCAAACGCCAAAAUAGAAAGAAAAUUUAGCUGCAGACAUUGUUAUUUUGAUCUGUUCAUCCUUUAAAAAUACCAGAUACAUAUUUAGAACAUUCCAAAAUGCAAUUCAGGUACUUUGAAAACGAAUAGAAGAACGGAAAAGAUUCUUCUUCAAAAUGCAAGUAUCAAUUAAAGCUACAUGUUCUACAUUCAGAAUAACAGUCUUCUACUUUCCACCAUGAACAUGAUUCAGCACAAAUGAAUAGAAUACUACCAUUAAUUGAAUAUUUAUUCACCUAGUUCAGCAAACAUGAUUUUUCACCCAAAAAAAGGGGUUGGGUCCGAUUACCGGUAGAACAGUCAACGCCAGUGUAACCAUUUUGGCAUUUACAGUUCCCAUUUGAAAGGCACAUGCCAUGCCCAUUGCAAUUACCAGAGCAGGAGCGUUUGCUACAAUCAUGACCAUGAAAUCCCAGGAAACAGUGACACUUUCCAUCAAUACAGUCUCCAUUAAAAUUACAUGAACUGGGGCAUUGCCCAUGUACAGGAACUGAACUCAUAAUACAGAGUUCAUGGUAAGCAGGGCAAAUAAGCUCACCUGCAGGCAAAAACAUAAAACAAAUAAAAUACGUACAAAAAUGGAUUUCGUACUGAAGUACAAUAAAUAAAAUAGAUAAAACAAAAUAAUUACCAUUGAAGCCAGGGAACUGAACUGGUCCGCCAGCUUCAGGACACACUUUCCACAUACCAUCCACAGCAACCUAAAAGAAUACUAUCAGAAUGGCAUCAGGUAGAUAAUUGCAAAAGGUAAAAAAUAAAGAAAAAGAGAGACAAGUUCUUUAAUUCUUUUUCAUAAAAAAACAUAUUUGUAUUUAAUUUGAAUUACAGUGUUUCAUAAAAAAAAAAGCUUGAAUAAAUACUUAAGCUGCUGAACCAGAACCAUCACAAAUGCAUCUUAUAAAGUACAGUUUGGCAUGCAAGGGAACAUCAAAUGCAUCAAACCUCCAAUGCAUACCUCAAGAGAGUUGUUUACACAUCUGUGCUGAUAACAACCAUUUCCUUGGGUUACAGAACCCCGCACAAAACCAUUGCGUACCAAUGAUGAUGCCAUGCACCUAUGUAUGCAUUUAAACAGAAACUAUAUUACCAUAUUGUGCUAAAUAUACUUUUUUUCCCAACCGCAUCCUGAAAAACUUCCAAUCAUAAUUUUCACCUGGAGCUACUCCCUCGAACUUCACCCAACAUCCUGUCAGGUGCUCGUGCACUGUUAGUGUCUGUACAUGAUCCAUCAGAGUAAGCCACAAAGUAAGUACAAUAAUCAGCCAAUGAGGACUGCCCACCUUUAUUUGGUUGUGGAAAGUAACGAGCCCACUGAGGGAGGUCCCCACUAUAACUUAAAAUAGGGCAGUAACCCUCAGCCUCCCUGUUAUAUGUGCAGCCUGAUAAUUGGGUUGUGUUGCAAUGGUAUGCGCCCUUCCAGAGAUUGCAAGGGGAGGUAACAAAGUCAGUUCCUUGGUUGCGACCCCAUUCAAGAUGGUCCGCCAUGGUAUAGUUAGCCUGGUACCACCCGCUAUCCUCCAAUAAAGCCAGUGUCAUUUUUGAAACUACAGAUCUUGUAUCCACAGAUCCUGUCAUAAUCUCAUUCAUCAGAAGUCUUUUUUCCCAAUGUGACCCUGAUGUGCCACGUCCUCCCCCAUCUUCAAGUUCCAAACCCGUAAAAUUCUCAGAAAAUGCCUGCCAAUAAAUGAAGUCGUAAAAUUUUGUUGGUUUUGUGGCUUGUAAAAGUCAGAGAUUAAAUGCCCAGACACAUAAACAAAAAAUAUUUUGAAAUGAAAACACACCCUCCACUCCCAAAAUAAAAAGAAACAGAAACAAAAACAGAAAAGAAACAUUUCAACAGGAAAAGUGUUUCUAUUACCCCAUAAUGAUGUCGCGAGUGCAUGACAACACGUGGAAGCACCACACGUGUUACCAUCCGCCCAAGCUUUUCAUCCAUGACUUGUUCAGUAACCUGACCACGCCUUCUUUUCCUCUCAUCUCGAAAAUGGGCAAAUGCAUGGGGAUCAAAACCAAGAACAUGCAUAACCUCAUGAAUUAGAGUAGCUGAAAGUAAUGUCUCAGCCUCAGCCGUCAAAUGGCGAGGAGCAACAUUCACAUGUCCAGCAAUUGCACGGCCCCAUUGAUCGCGUUCACAUGCCACUGCCCAUGCAAGAGUGUUGCCUGUGGUAGGUCUCGUAGUCACCAAUAAAACCAAGUCUGUUUCAGCAACACCCACUUCAACAUAUUCACGUGGAAGCUGCACACCACCAUCUUGUCCACAAGCAGAAUAUCCACUUAACCGCAAGUUUCCCUUCACAGGCUCAACAGCCAAUGCUCUCCUAAACCAAUCAGCUGUCUGCCCCAAUGCCUUGUGGAGGCGGUGCCUUUUAUCCUCCCCAGAUAUAUCAUCUGAAGUGCAGUUAUACCAGCAGUCACCAUAAAUUGGAGGGUUACCAUGAGGAUUGCAAGGAGUGCCAGGAAGAGAAGUCACAGGAGGUUCCCCAAGCUUCACAAUGUCACCGACUUUUCGACAGUCUCUAUCAGGUGAGUGUCCAACAGCAUCAUAAUUUAAAAAAAUCCUAAUAGGUUGCUUUGCAUCCUUUUGCUGCAAUUGCAAUUCCGAAAUUCCAAGCAAUGCCCUCCCUUUGUGAUGAAGGGAUUUUGACAUAGCAGUAUGAUCAUAAAUCUGAGGGGUAACAGAGUACACCUUGCGACCAGGUCGCCUCCUCUGUUCAAUUAUCUGGUCAUGAAUGCAUGAAUGUGAGACAAUGUUUCCACCUCUUCUUUCAGGGCCUUGCCAUUGAGUUGGGUGCUCUUGGGUGUUCGCAUUAGCAGCUUGAAAGCAUAAAAAUAUCAGUGCAAUCUCGAAAACAACGACGGCGAAUCUGAGCUUAGUAAUAUCAAAUCUAGUGACCGAACAUAGACUACAGCAAAUAAUAAACUCCAUGAAAUGUCCAAAGCUACAGCACUAAAGAGUAUCGAUUCCAUCAAAUCACCGGCGAUUUCCCGAUCGGCCAAAAUACCUUGAAGAAUCGCUGGCUGUUCCGCAUUUCCAAUGCUAUGUCUAAAGACAAAUAAAUAUAUAAAAAAUCUCCGAGAGAAACUUGAAAAUAUCUGUGCGAUUUUGGAAUGACAGAAAAAGAGUGAAAAAGAGGUGUCCCUUGGGUUUUAAUAGAAGCAGAGGUUUUCUUAAACAGAUUCAGAGUGAUUUGUUGUUGAAACGUGAUAUGUAGUGUAGACUCGAAAUCGAAGGCUUGUUUAGCUCAACUAGAUUUUCCUGAGAAAAUGGGAAAGAAACAGCGCCAGUGAAGACAGAAAGAAGCACAGAGAGA
This 4685-nucleotide unclassified non-coding RNA is filed under the name Hevea brasiliensis (rubber tree). The record is from RNAcentral. Lineage: Eukaryota; Viridiplantae; Streptophyta; Magnoliopsida; Malpighiales; Euphorbiaceae.